UGGCAGUGUGGAGGCUGUAAUAAAGCCCAAGG
RNAcentral lists this non-coding RNA (32 nucleotides) under Mus musculus (house mouse). The record is from RNAcentral. Lineage: Eukaryota; Metazoa; Chordata; Mammalia; Rodentia; Muridae.